UACGUAGGGUGCUAGCGUUGCUCGGAAUCACUGGGCGUAAAGCGCACGUAGGCGGAUUGUUAAGUCAGGGGUGAAAUCCUGGAGCUCAACUCCAGAACUGCCUUUGAUACUGAUGGUCUCGAGUUCGGGAGAGGUGAGUGGAACUGCGAGUGUAGAGGUGAAAUUCGUAGAUAUUCGCAAGAACACCAGUGGCGAAGGCGGCUCACUGGCCCGAUACUGACGCUGAGGCACGAAAGCGUGGGGAGCAAACAGG
This 253-nucleotide ribosomal RNA is filed under the name uncultured bacterium. Its description in RNAcentral is "partial 16S ribosomal RNA". It matches the Rfam family "Bacterial small subunit ribosomal RNA", at positions 524 to 776 of the family's 1533-position model. The record is from RNAcentral.